GUCUACAGCCAUGCCACCCUGAACAAGCCCUAUCCUGUCUGAUCUUGGGAGCUAAGCAAGGUCGGGUCUGGUUAGUACUUGGAUGGGAGACCACCUAGGAAGACCAGGUGCUGUAGGCA
RNAcentral lists this ribosomal RNA (119 nucleotides) under Pteropus alecto (black flying fox). The record is from RNAcentral. Lineage: Eukaryota; Metazoa; Chordata; Mammalia; Chiroptera; Pteropodidae.